AUUAGCUAGUUGGUGAGGUAAGGGCUCACCAAGGCGACGAUCCCUAGCUGGUCUGAGAGGAUGAUCAGCCACACUGGAACUGAGACACGGUCCAGACUCCUACGGGAGGCAGCAGUGGGGAAUAUUGCACAAUGGGCGCAAGCCUGAUGCAGCCAUGCCGCGUGUGUGAAGAAGGCCUUCGGGUUGUAAAGCACUUUCAGUCGUGAGGAAGGUAGUGUAGUUAAUAGCUGCAUUAUUUGACGUUAGCGACAGAAGAAGCACCGGCUAACUCCGUGCCAGCAGCCGCGGUAAUACGGAGGGUGCGAGCGUUAAUCGGAAUUACUGGGCGUAAAGCGCAUGCAGGUGGUUUGUUAAGUCAGAUGUGAAAGCCCGGGGCUCAACCUCGGAAUUGCAUUUGAAACUGGCAGACUAGAGUACUGUAGAGGGGGGUAGAAUUUCAGGUGUAGCGGUGAAAUGCGUAGAGAUCUGAAGGAAUACCGGUGGCGAAGGCGGCCCCCUGGACAGAUACUGACACUCAGAUGCGAAAGCGUGGGGAGCAAACAGGAUUAGAUACCC
RNAcentral lists this ribosomal RNA (555 nucleotides) under Vibrio harveyi. Its description in RNAcentral is "bacterial SSU rRNA". It matches the Rfam family "Bacterial small subunit ribosomal RNA", at positions 240 to 787 of the family's 1533-position model. Lineage: Bacteria; Pseudomonadati; Pseudomonadota; Gammaproteobacteria; Vibrionales; Vibrionaceae. RNAcentral also lists the same sequence under 1 other name. The record is from RNAcentral.